GGUAGUGUGGCCGAGCGAGGCAGUGAGUUGUAGCCUCACCUACUGGGGUUUAACCCCCGCUACCAGCC
This 68-nucleotide transfer RNA is filed under the name Lygodactylus aff. capensis. RNAcentral describes it as "tRNA-Tyr". The record is from RNAcentral. Lineage: Eukaryota; Metazoa; Chordata; Lepidosauria; Squamata; Gekkonidae.